UGGGGAAUUUUGGACAAUGGGCGAAAGCCUGAUCCAGCAAUGCCGCGUGUGUGAAGAAGGCCUUCGGGUUGUAAAGCACUUUUGUCCGGAAAGAAAUCCUUGGCUCUAAUACAGUCGGGGGAUGACGGUACCGGAAGAAUAAGCACCGGCUAACUACGUGCCAGCAGCCGCGGUAAUACGUAGGGUGCAAGCGUUAAUCGGAAUUACUGGGCGUAAAGCGUGCGCAGGCGGUUUGCUAAGACCGAUGUGAAAUCCCCCGGGGCUCAACCUGGGAACUGCAUUGGUGACUGGGCAGGCUAGAGUAUGGCAGAGGGGGGUAGAAUUCCACGUGUAGCAGUGAAAUGCGUAGAGAUGUGGAGGAAUACCGAUGGCGAAGGCAGCCCCCUGGGCCAAUACUGACGCUCAUGCACGAAAGCGUGGGGAGCAAACAGGAUUAGAUACCCUGGUAGUCCACGCCCUAAACGAUGUCAACUAGUUGUGGGGAUUCAUUUCCUUAGUAACGUAGCUAACGCGUGAAGUUG
RNAcentral lists this ribosomal RNA (521 nucleotides) under uncultured bacterium. RNAcentral describes it as "partial 16S ribosomal RNA". It matches the Rfam family "Bacterial small subunit ribosomal RNA", at positions 355 to 867 of the family's 1533-position model. The record is from RNAcentral.